Molecule: ribosomal RNA, 437 nt
Filed under: uncultured bacterium
Lineage: Bacteria
Description: partial 16S ribosomal RNA
Rfam family: Bacterial small subunit ribosomal RNA
Source: RNAcentral
AGCGAACGCUGGCGGCAGGCUUAACACAUGCAAGUCGAGCGGGCACCUUUCGGGGUGUCAGCGGCGGACGGGUGAGUAACGCGUGGGAACGUGCCCUCUUGUUCGGAAUAACUCAGGGAAACUUGAGCUAAUACCGGAUACGCCCUUUUGGGGAAAGGCUUGCUGCCGGAGGAUCGGCCCGCGUCUGAUUAGCUAGUUGGUGAGGUAACGGCUCACCAAGGCGACGAUCAGUAGCUGGUCUGAGAGGAUGACAAGCCACACUGGGACUGAGACACGGCCCGGAAUCCUACGGGAGGCAGCAGUGGGGAAUAUUGGACAAUGGGGGCAAGCCUGAUCCAGCCAUGCCGCGUGAGUGAUGAAGGCCUUAGGGUUGUAAAGCUCUUUUAUCCGGGACGAUAAUGACGGUACCGGAGGAAUAAGCCCCGGCUAACUUCGUG